UGCCUAUAAAGCAGGGGUGCUGCUCAGUUACUCGACAGAUUGUGGUUACCUCAGCAUUCAAUAGCUCCUCCAGCCAGAUUGAAUUCUCUGGUGAUCACAGGGUCCUAGAGAGAAAUUAGAUUUCCUCUGCCAUCAUGUGAGAAAGACAUGGAAGGCACUGGAUUCAAAUGAGGAAAAUCUGCUAAAGAAAUUCAGCAUGGGAGGAAUUGUUACUAUGCUACUCCUGCAACUCUAAAAUUUUGCCUUAAAAGGAAUACUUGGAGAACUUACCCAAGAGAUGAGGAAUGGGAGGGAAGUACUGAAGGUACCUUCCACCUGAGCCUCCCUGAUAAACCAGUAGCAUGAAAAGAGACCAUCUUCCACAGCAACUAUUCAUGGGCAACUGCAGAAAACCCCUGUGGUAGGG
This is a long non-coding RNA of Oxyura jamaicensis (ruddy duck), 406 nucleotides long. RefSeq lists it as uncharacterized. NCBI's taxonomy places the organism in Eukaryota, Metazoa, Chordata, Aves, Anseriformes, Anatidae. The transcript is spliced from 2 exons. The record is from RefSeq and is a predicted model, not a curated record.